UCGAUGAGCGAUUAAAGCUUCUUGAAGAAGAAAAUAAUACUCUAAAAAGGACAUUCUUUGAGGCUGUAAAGGAUCGAAAACGGUUGGCAGAUGAGAUAUAUGAGCACUUCUGGAUCAUAGAUCGCUCUCUACAUGCUAGAGACCAGUUUCAAGGAACUUCCGCUUCUUCAGUAGUCAGCAAUUUGAAGGACUUGGAGAUCAGAAGAACUGGGACUGGCCUCUCACUACUUCUCUGUCAGUCUUCAAAUCCGCUUGUGCUGAGCAAAGAAUAUACAACUACCACGCCGAUCUGCCAAAGCAACACAUGAUUCUUGGAUGAGAGGAAACCUCAUCAAUUGCUUCUCGAAGCUGUACACAAGCAUUUAGAUGCAUGAGCCAACAGAAGAGGUGUCAUCCACAUUAUCCUUGAGGUUGUUUCAAGCUCUACAGCUUC
Rhodamnia argentea is the source of this 433-nucleotide long non-coding RNA. RefSeq lists it as uncharacterized. The record is from RefSeq and is a predicted model, not a curated record. The transcript is spliced from 2 exons. Lineage: Eukaryota; Viridiplantae; Streptophyta; Magnoliopsida; Myrtales; Myrtaceae.